RNAcentral lists this ribosomal RNA (200 nucleotides) under uncultured eukaryote. RNAcentral's name for it is "partial 18S ribosomal RNA". It matches the Rfam family "Eukaryotic small subunit ribosomal RNA", at positions 589 to 796 of the family's 1831-position model. The record is from RNAcentral.
CUCCAAUAGCGUAUAUUAAAGUUGCUGCAGUUGAAAAGCUCGUAGUUGGAUUUCAGGAUCGCCGGACCUGUCUGCCUAUGGCAGAACGGGUAACGUGCGGUUCUUCCUGCUGAUGAACCAGUCUGUGCCGCGAGGUGUGGGCUGGCGAAUUAGUACGUUUACUUUGAAGAAAUUAGAGUGUUCAAAGCAGGCUAACGCUU